UGCUUCUGAAUGGGUUUUAAAAGAAGGUGGAAAAACCAGAUCCCUACUAUGUUGACGUAACUGUGGCAAAUGUUGCGUUAGCAAAAAUGCAUGUUUGUGGUGUCAUGCUGCCCAACUCCUGCGAAACCUGAUAGACAAGGUGUGGGACAACAGAACAGAUGGUUGGUUUGUCAAUACAGUGGCACCUUGUAACUCAACGUCCCCUAAACUCGUGAAAGCCCUUGAGAAGCAUAAGAAAACAAUAAAGAAGUAAAGUGUAUAAGCAGGGCUCUCAAGUCUCACGCAGUUCAACAAGCUCACACUGAGAAAUGAUGAACUUCGCCGCACAGAAAUGACUAUAACCUGUCCUACACACGAGUCAAAAAAAGGCUUGUUCGAGAUGAACUGCGCCUCGCCUUGGUGGUCAGUGAGAGCUUAAACGACUGUAUAGGCUUGUUCGAGAUGAACUGCGCCUCGCCUUGGUGGUCAGUGAGAGCUUAAACGACUGUAUAGGCUUGUUCGAGAUG
Trichomycterus rosablanca is the source of this 506-nucleotide long non-coding RNA. RefSeq lists it as uncharacterized. The transcript has 3 exons. The record is from RefSeq and is a predicted model, not a curated record. NCBI's taxonomy places the organism in Eukaryota, Metazoa, Chordata, Actinopteri, Siluriformes, Trichomycteridae.